Molecule: long non-coding RNA, 437 nt
Organism: Sander lucioperca (pikeperch)
Lineage: Eukaryota; Metazoa; Chordata; Actinopteri; Perciformes; Percidae
Exons: 3
Source: RefSeq, a predicted model, not a curated record
GGAAAAGUCUGCCUGUAAUAUACCUUUUCCACGGCAGACAUGUUGACAUGUCAUAGUAGGAAAAGCACAGGUGUAUUCAAAACCAUUAAUGAUGGCUGCAUUCCUCUUAGGAGAGACCCUGGUAUGGUGCAUGCUGACUCACUGAAAUAGCUUACUGGGACACUUGAUGGAAUUGAGCCAUCGUUAAGGUUAUCAAUUUCAGCUGUGCUUUUCCUACUAUGACAAGUCAAAAUGUCUGUUUUGAAAAAGGUCCAUUAAAUCAGGGCAGAUGAGUAGUCGAGCCCUGUUGCAUGAGUUCAGCAGGUUCGUGCUGGCCGCAUCAACCGGCAGGGUAUGGGAACCCAAUCAUAAACCUCACAGUCUCUUCCAAGCUGCUCUGCUUUAACAAUCAAGGAGGGGGGGAAUGGUCUGGACUUCCUGAUAUGGGGUUUCCCAGG